RNAcentral lists this non-coding RNA (29 nucleotides) under Mus musculus (house mouse). Lineage: Eukaryota; Metazoa; Chordata; Mammalia; Rodentia; Muridae. The record is from RNAcentral.
UCUGAAAUGCUAUCUGUGGGUCCAACACU